Molecule: ribosomal RNA, 505 nt
Filed under: uncultured bacterium
Lineage: Bacteria
Description: partial 16S ribosomal RNA
Rfam family: Bacterial small subunit ribosomal RNA
Source: RNAcentral
GACGAACGCUGGCGGCGUGCCUAAUACAUGCAAGUAGAACGCACAGUUUAUACCGUAGCUUGCUACACCAUAGACUGUGAGUUGCGAACGGGUGAGUAACGCGUAGGUAACCUGCCUGGUAGCGGGGGAUAACUAUUGGAAACGAUAGCUAAUACCGCAUAAUAUUAAUUAUUGCAUGAUAAUUAAUUGAAAGGUGCAAUUGCACCACUACCAGAUGGACCUGCGUUGUAUUAGCUAGUAGGUGAGGUAACGGCUCACCUAGGCGACGAUACAUAGCCGACCUGGGAGGGUGAUCGGCCACACUGGGACUGAGACACGGCCCAGACUCCUACGGGAGGCAGCAGUAGGGAAUCCUCGGCAAUGGACGAAAGUCUGACCGAGCAACGCCGCGUGAGUGAAGAAGGUUUUCGGAUCGUAAAGCUCUGUUGUAAGAGAAGAACGGGUGUGAGAGUGGAAAGUUCACACUGUGACGGUAUCUUACCAGAAAGGGACGGCUAACUACGUG